GCAAGUCGAGGGGUAACGGGGUGCUUGCACCGCCGACGACCGGCGCACGGGUGCGUAACGCGUAUACAAUCUACCUUUUACAGGGGGAUAGCCCAGAGAAAUUUGGAUUAAUACCUCAUAGUAUAUAGACUUGGCAUCAAGAUUAUAUUAAAGAUUUAUCGGUAAAAGAUGAGUAUGCGUUCUAUUAGCUAGAUGGUAAGGUAACGGCUUACCAUGGCAACGAUAGAUAGGGGCCCUGAGAGGGGGAUC
This 249-nucleotide ribosomal RNA is filed under the name uncultured bacterium. Its description in RNAcentral is "partial 16S ribosomal RNA". It matches the Rfam family "Bacterial small subunit ribosomal RNA", at positions 57 to 305 of the family's 1533-position model. The record is from RNAcentral.